UAAAAGGUCCUUUUCAGGGCCACCAACUACAAAAUUCUUAUCACUG
This is a non-coding RNA of Octopus bimaculoides (California two-spot octopus), 46 nucleotides long. The record is from Rfam. Lineage: Eukaryota; Metazoa; Mollusca; Cephalopoda; Octopoda; Octopodidae.